Molecule: ribosomal RNA, 1279 nt
Filed under: Cardicola jiigurru
Lineage: Eukaryota; Metazoa; Platyhelminthes; Trematoda; Strigeidida; Aporocotylidae
Description: eukaryotic LSU rRNA
Rfam family: Eukaryotic large subunit ribosomal RNA
Source: RNAcentral
AGAACUUAACCAGGAUUCCCUUAGUAACGGCGAGUGAACAGGGAUUAGCCCAGCACUGAAGCCUGCGGUCAUUUGAUUGCUAGGCAAUGUGGUGUUUAGAUUGGUUUUUGUCAAUUCUGCUUCAUUCAAAGUCCAUCAAUGAGUACGGCUAAUGGACCGGCCCAAAGAGGGUGAAAGGCCCGUGUGGAUGAAGAUCAAGUGUGACAGAAUUGGCUUGAACUGAUUUUGGAGUCGGGUUGUUUGUGAAUGCAGCCCAAAGUGGGUGGUAGACUCCAUCCAAGGCUAAAUACUGGCACGAAUCCGAUAGCAAACAAGUACCGUGAGGGAAAGUUGAAAAGUACUUUGAAGAGAGAGUAAACAGUGCGUGAAACCGCUCAGAGGUAAACGGGUGGAGUUGAACUGGAAUCCUUGGGGAUUUAACUGAUGAGUAUGACAUGCGCUUGGGCAUGUUAGUCAGCAUCGAGGGUUUGCUUAAUUGCAAGCCUUGACUUUUCGGAGUUUGGGUGCACGUUGCACUUGUCAAGUGUUGUGUGCCUUGGAUGCUUUAGGCUUGCUUGUCAGUGCAUUUUCUCAAGGUGAUCACCACGACCGACGUGGUUGUCUGUUUGCUGCAGUUAAACCGGUCAGAUUUGGUCAUGUGGCUGAGUCUGAUCGGGAUGGCAGGUAGCUUGUUUGCUUUUUCAAGUUUGCAAGUGUUAUUAGCUGACUGUGGUAAAUUUGUGCAAUAUGUCGGAGAUGACGGCUUUGCUCACGCUGUCUAGCAAGUCACGUUGAGCUUGAUUGGCACGUACUUGAUUUGACAAGUCUGUCGGUAGCUUAAUGGGGUUUGUUGGCAGUAGUGUGUAACGUGUUUUGAGCCUAUAGUCUGUGGUGUAGUGGUAGACGAUCCACCCGACCCGUCUUGAAACACGGACCAAGGAGUUUAACAUGUGCGCGAGUCAUUGGGCGUUACGAAACCCAAAGGCGUAGUGAAGGUAAAGGUUUGACUUGUUCGAACUGAGGUGAGAUCUUGUUGUAAUCAUUUGAUAUUGUCAAGCAUGAUGCAACAAGCGCAUCACCGGCCCGUCUCAUGGUGUAGUCAUGGGGUUUUACCUCGUGCGUCAUCGGGGCGGAGCUAGAGCGUACACGUUGAGACCCGAAAGAUGGUGAACUAUGCUUGCGCAGGUUGAAGCCAGAGGAAACUCUGGUGGAGGGCCGCAGCGAUUCUGACGUGCAAAUCGAUCGUCAAACGUGAGUAUAGGGGCGAAAGACUAAUCGAACCAUCUAGUAGCUGGUCCUC